UAGGGAAUCUUCCACAAUGGACGCAAGUCUGAUGGAGCAACGCCGCGUGAGUGAAGAAGGUUUUCGGACCGUAAAGCUCUGUUGUUGGUGAAGAAGGAUAGAGGUAGUAACUGGCCUUUAUUUGACGGUAAUCAACCAGAAAGUCACGGCUAACUACGUGCCAGCAGCCGCGGUAAUACGUAGGUGGCAGGCGUUGUCCGGAUUUAUUGGGCGUAAAGCGAGCGCAGGCGGAAGAAUAAGUCUGAUGUGAAAGCCCUCGGCUUAACCGAGGAAUUGCAUCGGAAACUGUUUUCUUGAGUGCAGAAGAGGAGAGUAGAACUCCAUGUGUAGCGGUGGAAUGCGUAGAUAUAUGGAAGAAUACCAGUGGCGAAGGCGGCUCUCUGGUCUGCAACUGACGCUGAGGCUCGAAAGCAUGGGUAGCGAACAGGAUUAGAUACCCUGGUAGUCCAUGCCGUAAACGAUGAGUGCUAAGUGUUGGGAGGCUUCCGCCUCUCAGUGCUGCAGCUAACGCAUUAAGCACUCCGCCUGGGGGAGUACGACCGCAAGGUUGAAAC
Molecule: ribosomal RNA, 554 nt
Filed under: uncultured bacterium
Lineage: Bacteria
Description: partial 16S ribosomal RNA
Rfam family: Bacterial small subunit ribosomal RNA
Source: RNAcentral